Sapajus apella (tufted capuchin) is the source of this 1416-nucleotide long non-coding RNA. RefSeq lists it as uncharacterized. NCBI's taxonomy places the organism in Eukaryota, Metazoa, Chordata, Mammalia, Primates, Cebidae. The transcript is spliced from 2 exons. The record is from RefSeq and is a predicted model, not a curated record.
AGUCAAUGAACAUUUCUCUUCUUAAGGGAAGUUGGCAAAUACUUGUGAACUUUAUUUAACAUGAUUCUGACGCAUUAGUAUCAUUAUUUUUAGAUAACAAAGUAGAUGGAAACCAUAUAGUAAAAUCUAAAGCAAAAUCUACCCUCUAACCUUUAUGUAAGUGAAAUGCCCUAUUUUCUUGAAGGCGCAGUGAAAGACCAGAAGCACCGGAGUCUGAAGUCAUGCAGGCCUAGCUUAGCGUCCUCCUGCCAAUGCUCUGCUGCAAAGAACACCAGGGACACAUCUGUAAUUGAACAUGUUGGGUUAUUCCUCACCGCAGAGGAAGGAACAUCUCUGGAAGAGCGUGUUAGAAAGAAUGUAUCAUAAGAUUUGGGCUUAAGUUCACAGUAUUGGCCAUGCAGUGAUCCGUAUCACCUGUGACAGUAAUGAAACCACCAAACUCACUGUAGCAUGAGCCUUUUCUUUCCUCUUAUCAAGUGUCAAGGCACAUGCUUGAGUCACCAGAACACCUUCCGGAAUUGUGUCAUGCUCAAGUGUAUCUGGAUUAUGAUUUGGCUGCAUGGUUACUGUUUUCCAGAUAUUUGCAGAAGAAAUGUGAGCUGGAGGAGACUCACUGAAAGCUGGAACUAGAAGGAUGCACACUGCUCAUCCCAGCCAAUUCACUUAUUUUACUGAUGAGAAAACUGAGUCUCAGAGAAGUCACACGCUUGCCCAAAGACACAGCUUGUGGUGGAGGAGUCAACACCAGAACCCUGGUCCAGGACUGCACAAAACCACUUAACAUGUGUAAUAAUGAAGAUAAAAGAUACUUCAAAUUCUGGGAGGUCUAUAAUGUUGGAGCAUAUAUACCACUGAAUCCUUUUAAUAACCCAUCGCUUACACAGAUGGGGAAACCAAGGCUCACGGAAAUAAAGUGACUUGUCCCAAGGUACAAAACUGGUCACCCAUAAAUCUGAUCUCCAGGUUCCCAGUUCAGGACUUUCUUCUGCACCAUCUUUUUGUUCUCUUUAACUACCAGAAGCUUUAAGCCAAAAUGAGACUUCAACUAUAAAGGCUAUUUAAGACCUUAUCGCUGCUGUAUCUCCGCCCUAAGUUUUCUCUUGAUCUUAAUUUUAUAUUCUAAUGUUUAAAACUUGUUCCCAAAAUAUUUUAAGUUUGCAUUCAUUUUUAUUUCAAUAAGCCACACCAAAAUCUGUGUGUCAUAAUCUGGCUAUACAUAAAUAAAUCAACGAAUGAAUGAGCAAACUAACAAAAUCUUAAGAGGCAGAGUAACAUGGUGGAAAAAUACCAAGCUUACAUUCAAUUCAAUACCACUUUGUCUACUGUCUUUGUCUAUGAGCCUCACUUUCAGUAUCUGUCAAACUUGUCAUUAAGCAUUAUUAUGAGUCUAAAAAUAAACAUAGAACAUAUGCAGAA